UACGGAGGGUGCAAGCGUUGUCCGGAUUUAUUGGGUUUAAAGGGUGCGUAGGCGGCCCAUUAAGUCAGCGGUGAAAUCCCAGGGCUCAACCCUGGAACUGCCGUUGAUACUGGCGGGCUUGAGUUCGGUCGAGGCGGGCGGAACUGGUGGUGUAGCGGUGAAAUGCAUAGAUACCACCAAGAACCCCGAUUGCGUAGGCAGCUCGCUAGGCCGAAACUGACGCUGAGGCACGAAAGCGUGGGGAGCGAACAGG
Molecule: ribosomal RNA, 253 nt
Filed under: uncultured bacterium
Lineage: Bacteria
Description: partial 16S ribosomal RNA
Rfam family: Bacterial small subunit ribosomal RNA
Source: RNAcentral